This is a long non-coding RNA of Xenopus laevis (African clawed frog), 1260 nucleotides long. RefSeq lists it as uncharacterized. The transcript has 4 exons. The record is from RefSeq and is a predicted model, not a curated record. NCBI's taxonomy places the organism in Eukaryota, Metazoa, Chordata, Amphibia, Anura, Pipidae.
AGCUGCAGGCCAAUGCGGAUGCUCUAUCCCGGACUUAUUGUAUGUUUAUGAAAAGUGUCCGUACCCACGGGGUCGAACAGAGGGGGGAGGUAUGUGACAGGGUGUCACAAUGUUUAGCAGAGAAAGUGCUGGAUGGUGUAUACAUUGCACCAGGAUUCCGGCACUUCAUGUGUUAAAAGACUCCAGGAAUGUUUGGGGUUUUACCUGUCUGUGUGCUGAUCACACAGGUGGAGUAUUUAGGUCAGUGGGCCUGACACAGAGUUCUCUUCCUAUAUGCAGGCUGCCUGAAAGCUGGAAGGAAAGGAGCUCUGUGAGUGAUUUUCAAAUUCCCUGAAAACCACGAAACUCAUCAAUCAGCAGGCACACACAUUCAGCCAGGUCUGGUGAAUUUCACAAGUGCAUAACAUUGGGCCCAAUAGAGUCCUGGAAAUUGGUAUGAAUGGCAGGCUUGAUCUGCAGGAAUCGAAUCAAAUCGUGUGAGCAUUGCUGUUAAUUGUCAUAACGGGGCACAACCUCUUUGACACCACAGAACGAAAGCAGUGGUUUGGGAAGAGGAGUCAACAAUUUAUCAGGCUCACAAAAAGACAGUAAAUCUGUUGGGCAUCAAUAUUUAUGGCCAGGCUCCUCCCUUUGUCUCAGACACAAUUACUGAAACUGCAAGCCAAUGGUUUCUAUGCUACGGUGCCAAAAGAAUUGUUCUGAACUCCUGCUGAGAAACUCCCACAGAUGAUGCCUUAGAAGACCUCCAGGAAGUAUGACUUUCCUGGCCAUGACACUGGAUGAAAUGUAAAGUUAUACAGUAGUUAGAUGAAAUGUAUAGUUAGACCUGGUAUGAAGAUAUGCUUUUGCAAUUUGGUUCUGUAAAUAAAUCAGUUUACUAUUUUUUUUAUACAGCAUCCGGCUGAAUGUUCCAGCUGUGUGAAGUGACUCAGUUUCACAGCAGAUUAAAAUAGCUGUAUGUUAUAGUUCAAAAAUUGUUUGUGCACCUUAACUAGUGAUGAUAACACUGAUAUCACCCACCUGAAAUUCCACUGUGAACUAAGCAAUAGCUAAAUAGAACCUUUUGGAUUUGUAAUGUGAACCUGUCAAUGAGGUUUCAGCGUGGCCUUCCAGUAGAAUAACGGACUCCCUGAAGCAUUUUAUUAAUGUUAAUGUAGAAAGAAGAGGAUGUUUUAAUUAAAAAAGAAUCCCAACUGACAGUUGAUCUGAGUCUAUUUUUUACAACUAGGAUAGGGAUCACCACCAGUCCUGGGAGACAAG